This 225-nucleotide ribosomal RNA is filed under the name Triticum aestivum (bread wheat). RNAcentral describes it as "partial small subunit ribosomal RNA". Lineage: Eukaryota; Viridiplantae; Streptophyta; Magnoliopsida; Poales; Poaceae. The record is from RNAcentral.
AUGAGGCUCACAGCAUGGAACUGCCGGGGUUUGGGGAAUGGCCCGACAGUAAGAGGGCUUCUAGACCUCCAGAGUUAGGUAGACCCCGAAAUUAUUUUCUUGUCUGAAACAAAAUUGGAUAAAAGAAGAAUGGAGAAGUUUAAGUGGAUGCUUGGCAUGAGUAAUAUGGUGGUAAGAGAUUGUGCAGGCAAAAGUGGAGGCUUGGCUUUACUUUGGAAGAAAUAA